RNAcentral lists this long non-coding RNA (2203 nucleotides) under Salmo salar (Atlantic salmon). RNAcentral describes it as "lncRNA (ENSSSAG00000112790.1)". Lineage: Eukaryota; Metazoa; Chordata; Actinopteri; Salmoniformes; Salmonidae. The record is from RNAcentral.
UGUUGUUGUAGUUUGGUCAGGAUGUGGCAGAGGGUAUUUGUUUUAUAUGGUUCGGGGUGGUGGUGUAGGUAGUAGGUUGUUUUAUUUAUGUAUUCCAGGGGUUUUGGGCACUGCUCUGUGUUUAUGUAUUUCUAGGUUUAGUUAGUUAGUUGUGGGUAUAGGUUCUAGGUUUGUUUUCUAUGUAGAGUUAAUUGGGAUUGGACUCCCAAUUGAAGGCAGGUGUGUUGAGUUGCCUUUGAUUGGGAGUCCUAUAUUAGUAGGGUGUGUUUGUCUGUGUGUUUGUGGGUAAUUGUUUGUGAGCACCGCUUGUUUAGCCUGCCACACUGGUUGGUCGAGAUCAAGUCAAGAGACACAAGAUGAACCUGUUCACCCAGCAAACUGUGAUGCUUUGGCUCUGUGUUGCUCGUACACUCACGACGGCAGAGCUGGUGAAGCUAAGCACUGUUGACUCUGUCAUUGUGUGGUGUCACCAGAGUGUCCGCCUCCAAUGUAACAUCUCCACCUCCCAGGAGGGACUGUUGAUCAAACAUCUGGCCUGGGUCCGCCAGGACGGGAAGCACCUGUGUGAUGUUAACGGAACUGAAGUGACCGGGACCCACCCAGGGAGCACAACUAGUGCUAUGGAGUGUAGUUAUACCCCACAGACACAGCUGUCCCUGACUCUGCUGCAGGUACGACCACUGGAUCAGGGAAAGUACUUGUGCAAGCUGCGCUCCAGUCAUGGAGUAAAGGAGGCCACUACAAUGGUGAAGCUGCAAGAGUCCUACAAGGAGGCCCAGCCCAGUAUCAGUGAUGAGGGCCCAACCUGCACCUUCACUGGGGUCUAUCCUGAUGGCGAGGUGCACUGGUUCCAGGGACCCAACAACGUGACUGGGGACUCUACAAUCAACACUAAACAAGUGGAAGAUGGAGCGUCAUUGACUAUAACUAGUUCCCUGAAAAGAAAGACAGUCUCUGGGGAAGAGGCCUACAACUGCUCCCUGUGGAUCCCCAGUACCGGAUCCUACCUGACCAGCAGCUUAGUGGUACCAGAGCAUGAUAAAGCCAGGGUUGCGCAGCCCAAUGCCAGUGGGUCAGGGUCCAUUGGUCCUUUGUGGAAACCUUUUCUAGUCCUCCUGAGUACUCUCUUCCUGGUGUGACGUCUUGAAAACAAACAUGAACAAAUUGACAAGCAAGUGCCAGGAUCAUUUAAUAAGAAUAUGGAAGAGCCAUUGUGUGAGGUUCCUUUCAUGGUCCAAAGGUUUCCUUGGCUGCGUAGAACAAGGAAAUGAUGAACAGAUGAGAGAGGCUGAUCAACCUAUUGUGAACGCACCCUUGUUGGUCUGCCAGUGCCAGAUAUAAAUGAUUGUUAAUUAAAAACUGCAAACGGCAGUAGAAACAGUAACAAAGCUUACUUCCUGCCAGUUUUGGUAAAAAAUUGAGGGAUGGGGCUGGAGAAAUGUAACCACUCUCAAAUUCAUAGACGCGCUUUGGAUGCAUGGACUGACCAUCCAUGAUAUCAAAAUAAUAGUUUUAACAAUGUUUUGAGGCUAUAUAGUGUUUUAUUAAAUUGGAGUUGAACAAGCUUCUGAUGGGGUAAGAGAGUUGCACUAAGCUCAUGAGGCAUUUAUAAGUUACAUUCUUCAAGAAUUAAUGUGUACAUAUUAAAAAAAUGAUGUGACAACUACUGAUUGCCCCUUUAAGGGCGUGACCUUUUGUAGAAAAGCCUUCCUGUUUGCGUUAAUCAGAGAGAUCCCCUUGGACAGGAGCGGUGGUUUAACUGGGUUGAUUUUUUUUGUUGUUGAUUUUUUAAGUACAAUGGUAAAUGUAGUGUUUGCUGGCGCCCAUAGUCCACCUAGACACAUCCUCCGUGAGUGUUGUAACACCAACGUUUAACUGAAUGAGAAUUGUGAGAAAUGUAUUGUUAGUAAUGUUUGUUUGUGAGGUGAUAUUCCUGCUUAGGAUGGAUGUAAAUAAAUGGCUGCAUCCUGAUUAUCCCAUGCUCCACUCCUUGAUACAAAGAACCUGUGUGUUUUAGAUUUAGUCCUGAGGACCUCCUCUCGCCAAUAAAAAAAAAAAAAAAAAAAAAGGUGACGUAGGACUGCUACAGGAAUUGAACAUUUUGUGUAAACUCUCCCGCACUACAGUUGGCGUAGUCUGGUAACCCUAGUUGGGAGUUGUUACAUCUCGGCGGAUAGUCUGCAGCGAUGGACAUGACUCUACC